This 643-nucleotide ribosomal RNA is filed under the name uncultured soil bacterium. Its description in RNAcentral is "bacterial SSU rRNA". It matches the Rfam family "Bacterial small subunit ribosomal RNA", at positions 71 to 710 of the family's 1533-position model. The record is from RNAcentral.
UGACUGUAGCAAUACAGUUGAUGGCGACCGGCAAACGGGUGCGGAACACGUACACAACCUUCCUUUAAGUGGGGAAUAGCCCAGAGAAAUUUGGAUUAAUACCCCGUAACAUUAUGAUGUGGCAUCACAUUAUAAUUAAAGCUCAGGCGCUUAAUGAUGGGUGUGCGGCUGAUUAGAUAGUUGGCGGGGUAACGGCCCACCAAGUCUACGAUCAGUAACUGGUGUGAGAGCACGACCAGUCACACGGGCACUGAGACACGGGCCCGACUCCUACGGGAGGCAGCAGUAAGGAAUAUUGGUCAAUGGACGCAAGUCUGAACCAGCCAUGCCGCGUGGAGGAUGAAGGCCCUCUGGGUUGUAAACUUCUUUAUAUGGGACGAAAAAGGGUCUUUCUAGAUCAACUGACGGUACCAUUUGAAUAAGCACCGGCUAACUCCGUGCCAGCAGCCGCGGUAAUACGGAGGGUGCAAGCGUUAUCCGGAUUCACUGGGUUUAAAGGGUGCGUAGGUGGGUUGGUAAGUCAGUGGUGAAAUCUCCGAGCUUAACUUGGAAACUGCCAUUGAUACUAUUAAUCUUGAAUAUUGUGGAGGUCAGCGGAAUAUGUCAUGUAGCGGUGAAAUGCUUAGAGAUGACAUAGAACACC